Molecule: non-coding RNA, 2784 nt
Organism: Doryrhamphus excisus (bluestripe pipefish)
Lineage: Eukaryota; Metazoa; Chordata; Actinopteri; Syngnathiformes; Syngnathidae
Source: RefSeq, a predicted model, not a curated record
UCAUAUCAAUGCAAAAACCCACAAAUGGCCCCCAGGGCGCACUUUGGACACCCCUGGCGUAAAAGAACCUAAAAAAAAACGUGAAACUCAAAGUAAAAUAGACAAAAUUCCUAAAUGUGAAAUAUCCCAGGGACAUUUGAGUGGGAUAUUUUUGGUUGGAUUGAUUCCUCCAUCUCAGGAUGAAUGUCGUCAGCCGCCAUCCACUGAGAGGAAGAAGAGGAACAAAGAAAGGUGAUGGAAGAUGAAUCCGUGAUGUGUCAUCGUGAAGGACAAAGACGACUCACACGAUCCCAGAGGACGAUCUCGGCCUUCAUUGGGGGGUCUUUAAAAGCCAUCGGUUUUUGUGCUGAGCGCGUCCGAAGCCCUCGUCGUAGUUCCCGCUUCUCCGGAACAGUUGUUGGUAGUGAAAUAUGCAGUAGAACUCCCCAUGUAAAGUUUGGUGACCUAAAGCUGCUUUCACUGACUUCCCAGGCCUUAAAUCAUCUUUGGAAAAGCUUAACAGGCUUCCAUCCAGAGCGGCGACGCUGUCGGAGGAGUCUGCGGUAGAACCCUCGUCAGCCAGCAGAGGGCGCAAAAGACCAGGAUAAAGAUGUGCAACGUGCAGCAGUGAGGUUAGCCCAGGCCAAGCAGUGGAGGAGCAGGAGCAUUCAGGGGCGCCUGCAGCCAUUGGACUGCUUCCUUGGUCUACCUGGAGGUCCACGCUCACAAGCAGCCAGCGUGGGCUAUGUAACGAGGUGCGUACGUGACUCAAGACAGCCUGGCCUUCACCGUGGCUUGUUGACGUGGGUGACGCUUGAUGACUCACAUGGACACCACUAUGAAACCAUGACCCAAAAUAUACUUCAACCAAGCGCUGGUGAUCGCCAAGGUCUUCACAUCUUCUGAUUUUCUCCACUAUCUCAUGUCCUGUUGCUACUUUUUGGAAAUAUUGUCCAAUGGUGUUGGAUUUCCUGCGAAAACAGACAUGGCCGUCAGCAAAUAUGUCCGUCUGGCCGGCUGGCUUGUGCCGUGCAACAUGAUAGCCCUUUUGAGACGCGCUCCUGAGUCUUUCCCGCCGAGGGACGUCUCAGGAGCAGAAGGCGGCGUGUCGGCCUCACCGUCUUCUUAUUAUUCUGCCAACUGCCCUGUCGGUUGCCAUGACAGCAUCGGGGGAACUCCAGGAACCCCUCCACAUUUGGCCUAUUUAGAAAGAACCCUACCACCAAGCCAUCCUGUGAGUGGAUUGGUUUUCCGCCGACCCGCCCUCGAUGUGGACCAGCUGGGACCACAAAUGGAGGGGCACCUGAACCUGUAAUCACCGAUGACAAAAGCCUCCACUGCUCCCGAUCCGAUUUCCAUCCCCAAUGAGGAACGUUGGAAGCCGUGUCCCACAAGACAUCCGACAUGAUCUCGCUCUUGUUUGGAUGAACCCGGGGGGGACGCAUUGUGGAAGGCGGCGGGGGCGUUAACCUGAUGGAACGGAUGCCAGCGAGGGUAGUGCUGUGAUGGUACACCAAGCCAAGCAAGCACAUGGGUGGGGGUGGGCGGUCAACCACUGACAGACCUUGGCUGUCACCACUGAAGCGUCCUCCGUCUCGUACACCGCUACCCUAGUUUACUUGAGCGAUGGCGUCACUUUUGGAAAUGAGGAAGUGCCACAGCUCGUCAACUAGAAAUGACAUCUUUGUCAAUUUACUGUUGACAUUAACGAAUCAAACCAUGUAGAACUUCAUUCCAACAAGUAUAUGACAUAUUGAGGCAAAGUUGAUGAUUCCGGUCAGGGACCGCUCGGCUCCCAUUCGGCGAGGAUGCGUGGUUGCGGGUUGGAAGAUGAUGUUUGUCUGUCCUGGUCGCCGUGGCGUCUUGGCUGGUGUGAGUCAUGUGUACCUUCCAAAUCAGCCAAACUGAUUCAUGGCUGAGCCGAUGCGGUGAGUCAGCCUGACAUGCCUCCUCCGUAGCGGUGUGGGCUCAGCCGGAGUUGGCCUCCUCCCUGCUUUUGUCAUCGCUUCUGCAUGUGCUCGAACGCCGUGUUCUGCAGCGGAGAAAAAAACACGACGUAGCAAAGGAGCAAACAUGGCGGCAUCCAGUGUGCCUGUUUUUCCUGGAAAGUACUGCUUGUGUCAGGAAUUGUAGAAUCGCCACGGAAUGUUUUUGAGCUGGCCAUCUGUUUAGCAUCUUUUGUUGCAAUACCACAGUCAUCCACAGGGGUCAGCAGUGAGUCAUUAGGGUGCAAAUGCGUUGUACUGAGUACUUAGUCCGAUUCUUAUGGGUAAAACUUCACCUGGUGGACGUAUACUUGUCAACACUCCCUUAUACCAGGAACACCCGUAUUUUGCCCUUUACUUUCAGGUACAUUUCCUGUAUUUUUACUUGGAAUCUGGUACUGCAGAUGACAAUGCUAACGAUAUCCGUGCCUGUGUUUGCAAAUGUGACCUAUGAAAGAGUAUUUUUGUGUAUUAUGUGUUGCUAGGAGUUAUCUUCCUUCUUGGUAGAAGUGAAAUACCUGGUACUGAAAUACCUAUUUUGUACAAUUUCCUGAAAUUUCAUUGGAACGUAAGCAUUAUUUGCACGCCGUUAUCGUGUCCUUGCUGGUUUCCUUGACAACAUGCAUGAAUAUAUUCCUCCAACAUACACUUUGGACAUGUCAUUUUGGGUGUUAAUGACCCAGGUAAUUUUAACAAACAAAUACAUUUAAUUGAUUUGAUACAAGUAUGAAAAAUACAUGAAAAAAGUACAAAUACAAAUGGAAAAGUAUAAAACAGACGUGACGGUAGAGCGUAGCUUCCAGGGUUGGUGUGCGUUGUU